UACAGAGGUGACUAACGUUGUCCGGAAUUAUUGGGCGUAAAGGGCGCGUAGGUGGUCAGGUAAGUCAGGUGUGAAAGCUCUGGGCUUAACCCAGGAAUUGCAUCUGAUACUGCUUGGCUUGAGUACGGUAGAGGAGGGUGGAAUUCCCAGUGUAGCGGUGAAAUGCUUAGAUAUUACAUGGAAUACCAAUUGCGAAGGCAGGUUACUAUCAAUAUAUUGACGCUGAUGGACGAAAGCGUGGGGAGCGAACAGG
Molecule: ribosomal RNA, 253 nt
Filed under: uncultured bacterium
Lineage: Bacteria
Description: partial 16S ribosomal RNA
Rfam family: Bacterial small subunit ribosomal RNA
Source: RNAcentral